Molecule: ribosomal RNA, 549 nt
Filed under: uncultured Glomus
Lineage: Eukaryota; Fungi; Glomeromycota; Glomeromycetes; Glomerales; Glomeraceae
Description: SSU rRNA
Rfam family: Eukaryotic small subunit ribosomal RNA
Source: RNAcentral
UUUGGAGGGCAAGUCUGGUGCCAGCAGCCGCGGUAAUUCCAGCUCCAAUAGCGUAUAUUAAAGUUGUUGCAGUUAAAAAGCUCGUAGUUGAAUUUCGGGAUCAAAUUGUCGGUCGUGCCUCGGUACGUACUGGCGUUAUUGGUUCCUCCCUUCUGAAGAACCACGAUGUCAUUAAUUUGGUGUCGCGGGGAAUCAGGACUGUUACUUUGAAAAAAUUAGAGUGUUUAAAGCAGGCUCGCGCUUGAAUACAUUAGCAUGGAAUAAUGAAAUAGGACGUUUGAUUCUAUUUUGUUGGUUUCUAGGAUCGACGUAAUGAUUAAUAGGGAUAGUUGGGGGCAUUAGUAUUCAAUUGUCAGAGGUGAAAUUCUUGGAUUUAUUGAAGACUAACUACUGCGAAAGCAUUUGCCAAGGAUGUUUUCAUUAAUCAAGAACGAAAGUUAGGGGAUCGAAGACGAUCAGAUACCGUCGUAGUCUUAACCAUAAACUAUGCCGACUAGGGAUCGGAUGAUGUUAAUUUUUUAAUGACUCAUUCGGCGCCUUACGGGAAAC